Molecule: long non-coding RNA, 403 nt
Organism: Fundulus heteroclitus (mummichog)
Lineage: Eukaryota; Metazoa; Chordata; Actinopteri; Cyprinodontiformes; Fundulidae
Exons: 3
Source: RefSeq, a predicted model, not a curated record
UGAGAUGCUCUUUUCGGUCUGCGUCAAGUUCAUAAAGCGGUUCCUCUCUGUCCUUGGCUUCAUCAUAAACAUUGACACAUUGAUGUUGAUGGUUCCUGUGCUGCUUGAAGGACAGCGAUAUGUCCUGACUUAUAGGUUCAGCCAGGACCACUUGGAGCUUCUCUUCAACUCCAUCAGAGCAUCCGGGGGCUGGAAUAACAAUCCUAAUGCCAGCCAGUGCAAGUACAUUUUCAGGAAGCUGAUGGCCCGGUGUGGGGUUGUCAAAUCAUGCAGAGGCAAUGUGACUGCACAGGAUGACACAGAGUCCCUACCAGCUGUCAUUGACACCUCUACUAGCCUGUCAGCUGUAGAUAUGUCCUCUGCAGCAGGAGGAGAAGAUCUUCCAUCCCCGUUUGCUGACAUU